RNAcentral lists this long non-coding RNA (834 nucleotides) under Mus musculus (house mouse). RNAcentral describes it as "predicted gene, 47962". The record is from RNAcentral. Lineage: Eukaryota; Metazoa; Chordata; Mammalia; Rodentia; Muridae.
GUGCGUGUCGUUGUUCACUCUUUGUGCGGCGCGGCGCAGGCCGGGGCGGCGGCCCGGCUGCUUUGUCCUCGCCGGGUGGGGACGCAAGGUCCCGGGUGGGUCGAGGUGGAGGGGUUGGGGAUCGUCAGUGCUCUUGUCCCCUCCCCGAGCGUCCCGCACUCACCCUCCGGAACUACUGCGGGCCGUCCGCAGCUAGCUUGGGCCGAUCGGCCUCGGAUAAAGGUCGCAGGUCCCCGAGGCCGCAGAGGCGACAACGCACAGAGCCAGGCUCACGCUCUGUGGCCCGGGGCUGUAGCCUCCUGGGCCACCCUUCUUCAUGUUUGUUAUGGUGUGGCGGAGGCCGCCAGGCUCGCUGGAGCAGGGGGAGGCUGGGUUGAAAGGAGGCCCAGCGGUGUUGGGUUACCGGCGGUGAGUCACAGUCCCCUCCAGCCGCCGAGGCCCUGCAGGCCCCCAGCUCCGGCACGGUCAGGGCAGGGCCCUCCUGGAGCAACCGCGGAGCCUGGAAAGUCCCCGAGAGGGAUGCUUCGGAACCCCGGCUCUCUCAGGGAGAAAGGCGGAGUCAGGAACGAAGGGAGGCUCGAAGGAGGAACCCGGCCCUUCUCCAGGGCUCCGAUCUCCCGGGGAAGAGAUUACGGGACAAUGCUUUCAAUUUCGCGGAAUUUAAGAAGCAGGUAAACGCCUUGAGCCAGGGCGGGUGACAGUUACGGAAGAAGGAGAAGCCUGGAGUCCCACAGGACUUUGAUCUACCCCAAACCUAUUGCCACCUCCUGUGUUACUGGAGCUAACCCUACCAAGCCAGGCCCGGCUCCUGUCAACACAUCAAGUGCACAUCUG